GACGAACGCUGGCGGCGUGCUUAACACAUGCAGGUCGAACGAUGAAGCCUAGCUUGCUAGGUGGAUUAGUGGCGAACGGGUGAGUAAUACGUGAGUGACCUACCUUUGACUCUGGGAUAAGCCUGGGAAACUGGGUCUAAUACCGGAUACGACCAAUCUCCGCAUGGGGUGUUGGUGGAAAGCGUUAUGGAGUGGUUUUAGAUGGGCUCACGGCCUAUCAGCUUGUUGGUGAGGUAAUGGCUUACCAAGGCGACGACGGGUAGCCGGCCUGAGAGGGUGACCGGCCACACUGGGACUGAGACACGGCCCAGACUCCUACGGGAGGCAGCAGUGGGGAAUAUUGCACAAUGGGCGCAAGCCUGAUGCAGCGACGCCGCGUGAGGGAUGACGGCCUUCGGGUUGUAAACCUCUGUUAGCAUCGAAGAAGCGAAAGUGACGGUAGGUGCAGAGAAAGCGCCGGCUAACUACGUG
Molecule: ribosomal RNA, 471 nt
Filed under: uncultured bacterium
Lineage: Bacteria
Description: partial 16S ribosomal RNA
Rfam family: Bacterial small subunit ribosomal RNA
Source: RNAcentral